Molecule: ribosomal RNA, 253 nt
Filed under: uncultured bacterium
Lineage: Bacteria
Description: partial 16S ribosomal RNA
Rfam family: Bacterial small subunit ribosomal RNA
Source: RNAcentral
UACGUAGGGGGCUAGCGUUGUCCGGAAUCAUUGGGCGUAAAGCGCGUGUAGGCGGUUCGGUAAGUCCGCUGUGAAAGUCGGGGGCUCAACCCUCGAAAGCCGGUGGAUACUGUCGGGCUAGAGUACGGAAGAGGCGAGUGGAAUUCCUGGUGUAGCGGUGAAAUGCGCAGAUAUCGGGAGGAACACCAAUGGCGAAGGCAGCUCGCUGGGACGUUACUGACGCUGAGACGCGAAAGCGUGGGGAGCAAACAGG